CUGAACAGUCACAUGUUAUGGGGCCAUCCUAUCCUCUGAUGGUGGGGAUUCAAUCACAUGCAGUGGAUAUUAGUGCAGAUGAAUGAACGUGAGAGGUAGGGUCCAAGGAAACUGAUGAAAAGGCUGAUGAGGUUCUAAAGUAGGAUAUUUUGGAUUGUUGGACGCCAAAAAAUCACUACGGAUGGACUGAAUCUGAGUGUUAAACAUGUUGGGUUUAGACCAUCUGUAAUGAUUUUCUGGAGUCCAACAAUCCAGAAUAUCCAACUUUAGAACCUCAUCAGCCUUUUCAUCGGUUUCCUUGGACCCUACCUCUCACGUUCAAGUAGCUGCACUAAUGUUGGAGCUAAUCUGAAUGAAGGUUUUGAAACCUUAAUUGAAUAAAAAGGCUUUUUAUGUGGGUUGCUGAUAAAUGUACCUUCAUUUUAACUGAAGGAGAUUCAGCUAAGGCUCUUGCAAAGCUGGAGAGACUUCAAGAAGAGGAAUUAGUAGAGAAGCCAUUUCAACGGAAACAAAUGAAAGUAAGGUUCCCUGAGCAUGGAAGAAGUGGAAGAUCUGUUGUAACAAUUAAUAACUUGGAAUUUGGCUUUGGAGAUAAGGUGCUCUUGAACAAGGCAAAUCUUACAAUUGAAAGGGGAGAAAAACUUGCCAUAAUUGGCCCAAAUGGAUGUGGAAAAAGCACUUUGCCGAAAUUAUCAUUUGGAUUUAGAGAAGCCAAGAGGGGGUGAAGUUUUGCUUGGGGAGCAUAAUGUCCUGCCAAACUAUUUUGAGCAAAAUCAGGCUGAGGCACUUCAUUUCAAUAAAACAGUGCUUGAGACAGUAGUAGAAGCUGCAGAGGACUGGAGAAGUGAUGACAUAAAGGGACUCCUUGGGCGUUGUAAUUUUAAAGCUGAUAUGCUUGAUAGAAAGGUUUCUCUUUUGAGUGGUGGUGAGAAGGUAAGCUAAAACUGUAUGCUCUUAUGCGAUUU
This is a long non-coding RNA of Quercus lobata, 965 nucleotides long. RefSeq lists it as uncharacterized. Lineage: Eukaryota; Viridiplantae; Streptophyta; Magnoliopsida; Fagales; Fagaceae. The transcript is spliced from 6 exons. The record is from RefSeq and is a predicted model, not a curated record.